RNAcentral lists this transfer RNA (76 nucleotides) under Candidatus Altimarinota bacterium. RNAcentral describes it as "tRNA-Gln". It matches the Rfam family "tRNA". Rfam says of the family: Transfer RNA (tRNA) molecules are approximately 80 nucleotides in length. Their secondary structure includes four short double-helical elements and three loops (D, anti-codon, and T loops). Lineage: Bacteria; Candidatus Altimarinota. The record is from RNAcentral.
UGGGGCGUCGCCAAGUGGUAAGGCACUAGUUUUUGGUACUAGCACUCGGGGGGUUCGAGUCCCUCCGCCCCAGCCA